CUAAACAAACAAAUUGCAGAUGUAGCAGGCUUAAUUAAUACCAUGGGUCACAUAUGUGUAGGUAGGUGCAGAAAUGUUAUGUCUAUACUCAGUUUUCUGACCUAUGAACAUCUGAAUUAUUAGUAGCCUAACAUU
Rattus norvegicus (Norway rat) is the source of this 135-nucleotide small nucleolar RNA. Ensembl annotates it as small nucleolar RNA SNORA17. Lineage: Eukaryota; Metazoa; Chordata; Mammalia; Rodentia; Muridae. The record is from Ensembl.